GGAGCAUGUGGUUUAAUUCGAUGCAACGCGAAGAACCUUACCAAGGCUUGACAUGUUCCGGACCGCCGUGGAAACACGGUUUCCCCUUUUGGGGCCGGUUCACAGGUGGUGCAUGGUUGUCGUCAGCUCGUGUCGUGAGAUGUUGGGUUAAGUCCCGCAACGAGCGCAACCCUCGUUCUAUGUUGCCAGCACGUGAUGGUGGGGACUCAUAGGAGACUGCCGGGGUCAACUCGGAGGAAGGUGGGGACGACGUCAAAUCAUCAUGCCCCUUAUGUCUUGGGCUUCACGCAUGCUACAAUGGCCGGUACAAUGGGUUGCGAUACUGUGAGGUGGAGCUAAUCCCAAAAAGCCGGUCUCAGUUCGGAUUGGGGUCUGCAACUCGACCCCANGAAGUCGGAGUCGC
Molecule: ribosomal RNA, 403 nt
Filed under: Arthrobacter sp. AZTITEMP16
Lineage: Bacteria; Bacillati; Actinomycetota; Actinomycetes; Micrococcales; Micrococcaceae
Description: bacterial SSU rRNA
Rfam family: Bacterial small subunit ribosomal RNA
Source: RNAcentral